This is a long non-coding RNA of Bos taurus (domestic cattle), 2220 nucleotides long. NCBI's taxonomy places the organism in Eukaryota, Metazoa, Chordata, Mammalia, Artiodactyla, Bovidae. The record is from Ensembl.
AGCAUGACGUUGGUCUGGAUACUGGAGUUGCCACUCCAUUUUUAAAAUGUCCCAGGUGCUUGGUGUGGUAGAGACACCAUUAAUUUGACUCUUCUGCUGGUACCUGAGGCUUCCCGCAUGGCUCACUGGUAAAGAAUCCACCUACAAUCCUGGAGCCUCAGGAGGCACGGGUUCGAUCCCUGGGUCAGGAAGAUCCCCUGGAGGAGGGCAUGACAGCCCACUCCAGUAUUCUUGCCUGGAGAAUCCCAUAGACAGAGGAGCCUGGCCAGUUACAGUCCAUGGGGUCGCAGAGAGUCAGACAGAACUGAAGUGACUUAGCACACAUAGGUACAUACUUGUCAGCAGCAAACUUAUGAGUUCUUCUCAGUACAUAAUUCUAAUAUUCUUAUUCACUCAUUUGUGUUCAGGAUACUAUAGAGGUUUCAGAUAUCUAGUUGAGUAAUGAUUCUUAGAAAAUGAAUGAAUAUUUCUUUCCCAUUAAAUUCCAUAAUAAACUGAAAAUCUUUUUCCCACAGAAACCUUACUACAGGAGAUGUGUUGAAAGACUUCAGAACAAGAGGAUUUAAGGUCGUGAACAGACCUGUGGCAAGCUAUGGCUUCUUGGGAUUAGUUAGGUCUAGAAUAGAUCUUGCUGUAGGUUUCUUUUUGUAAGGAUAACACUUCUCACUUCUCUAGGUGUUAGAUGUCCAUUGCGGACCAUGGUGCUUCAGGACAAAGAUUUUUCCUUAUGCCAGAGAAUCAUCUGACUCUCUACUAGAGUAUCCCCAAAUUCAUGUGAUUAGAAUGUCUAUAACAGUAUUCCUCUCAGAAGCCCAUAACAGCAGUCUAAUCAUGAGCAGUGUGUGUGUGCAUGCUAAGUUGCUCCAAUCAUGUCCAACUCUUUAUGACCCUGUAAACUGCCAGCUCCUCUGUGGACGGGGAUUCUCCAGACAAGAAUACUGGAGCGGGUUGCCAUGUCCUUCUCCAGGGGAUCAUUCCCACCCAGGGAUCGAACUCAUGCCUCUCACAUCUCCUGCAUUGGCAGGUGGAUUCUUUACCACUAGCACCACCUUGGAAGCCCCACUCAUGGGCAGAACAUCAGACAAAUCCCAUCUGAGGGACAUUCUACAAAAUACCUGACCCAGUACUAUUCUUUUUUAACUUUGUGCCACAAGAUCUUCGUUCCCCAACCAGAGAUCGACCUGAGCCCACAGUAGUGAAAGUGCCAAGUACUAACCACUGCCCGGAAUUCUCAAGACAUAAAAAAAGGGAUAACUAAAUGUAAUGUGAUAUUCUACAGCGGAGCCUGGAACCGGAAAAGGAGAUUAGAUACAAACUAAGGAAAUUUGAAUAAAGUAUAGCCUUAGUUAUUAAUAAUGUGUCAAUACUGGUCCAUUUUCUGUGACAGAUGUAUCAUACUAAUGUUAAGAUAUUGAUAAUAGGGGAAACUAGGUGUGGGGUUUAUUGGAACUCUGUGUACUAGCUUCCUUAUUUUUUAAUAAAUCUAAAUUUGUUCUAAAAUUUUAAAAAAUACUUUAAAAAAGUAAGAAAUACGGUCCAUAAUAGCUAGGCUAAAAUAUCGAAUAUACCACAAGGUACAAUUUGUGAUCACAUGAGUUCAGUUCAGAGGGCUUCCCUGGUGGCUCAGAUGGUAAAGAAUCUGCUUGCAAUGAGGGAGACCUGGGUUUGAUCCCUGGGUCGGGAAAAUCCACUGGAGAAAGGAAUGGCUACCCACUCCAGUGUCUUUGCCUGGAGAAUUCCAUGGACAGAAGAGCUUGGUGGGUCAGCUUUCAAAUACCUUAAAGAAUACUAUAAAAUAUAAAUAUUAUAAAAUGUAAAAUAACGCAUAACAUAGCAAAUAGAAUUACAAUGAUUUUUCUUGAGUUCUAAUACAGGAAUUCAAACUAGCUCAGAUCUUUUUUAAACAACUAAACCAUAAAAAUUCAUUCACUUAAAACAAUUAGCAUGCAUGGGUUCAGACCUCUAGCAUUUUAAAAAUAAAAAUAUUUUGUAGAGCUCUUAAUCUCUUUUUUCAUUUUUAUUUUUCCUACACAAUUUUGCCAUUUCAACUUUAAUGGCAGAUUCUCAACAACACAUUAUUUGAGUCAUGAAACUAAAGAUCCUCAAGAGAAGAUCAAAAAAGCAAUUUUGUUGGCAGUUUACAAAUCUUUCCUCACUGGAUUCUCACAAGAACCUUCUGAUGUUGGCAGACAUAGAGAACAAACUUAUAGUUGCCAGGGG